This 250-nucleotide ribosomal RNA is filed under the name uncultured bacterium. RNAcentral's name for it is "partial 16S ribosomal RNA". It matches the Rfam family "Bacterial small subunit ribosomal RNA", at positions 355 to 602 of the family's 1533-position model. The record is from RNAcentral.
UGGGGAAUAUUGGUCAAUGGGCGAAAGCCUGAACCAGCAAUGCCGCGUGAGUGAUGAAGGCCUUCGGGUUGUAAAGCUCUGUCAGUGGGAACGAAUAAACCGAUUAAUACCCGGCGAUGACGGUACCCACAAAGGAAGCACCGGCUAACUCUGUGCCAGCAGCCGCGGUAAUACAGAGGGUGCAAGCGUUGUUCGGAAUUACUGGGCGUAAAGCGCGUGUAGGCGGUCCUUCAAGUCGGACGUGAAAUCC